Molecule: ribosomal RNA, 442 nt
Filed under: uncultured bacterium
Lineage: Bacteria
Description: partial 16S ribosomal RNA
Rfam family: Bacterial small subunit ribosomal RNA
Source: RNAcentral
CCUACGGGGGGCAGCAGUGGGGAAUAUUGGGCAAUGGGCGCAAGCCUGACCCAGCAAUGCCGCGUGAAGGAUGAAGGCUUUCGGGUUGUAAACUUCUUUGACAGGGGAAGAGCAGAAGACGGUACCCUGAAAACAAGCCACGGCUAACUACGUGCCAGCAGCCGCGGUAAUACGUAGGUGGCAAGCGUUGUCCGGAUUUACUGGGUGUAAAGGGCGUGUAGCCGGGAAGGCAAGUCAGAUGUGAAAUCUGGAGGCUCAACCUCCAAAUUGCAUUUGAAACUGGUUUUCUUGAGUACUGGAGAGGCAGACGGAAUGCCUUGUGUAGCGGUGAAAUGCGUAGAUAUAAGGAGGAACACCAGUGGCGAAGGCGGUCUGCUGGACAGCAACUGACGGUGAGGCGCGAAAGCGUGGGGAGCAAACAGGAUUAGAUACCCCUGUAGUC